AGGGAAACGGCAAACUGCACCCCAGCCCCUCCUAGCCUGGCACCCCUUCCAAAUGGUGCAAUGAGUGGGUCCCAGGCCAAGAGGUGCCAGGUUAGAGCUUGGACACUCAGACCCUGCGGUGCAGGCCUUACCCGGACCAGCCCCUCCUCCACUCUCCUCUCCUCUGUGAGCUCCACCUGCCCCAGUUCUCCUGGCUUUAACCCCUCCUUGGCCAAGGCCGGGGUUGCCUGUGGGAGCCGGGUGUCUGCUCUCCACACCUUUCACAGGUCCUACCCAGGCCACCACCCCGAACCCCUCCGACCCUGCGUUCCAUCCCACCGUCAACCUCCAUGUGAAUCUGCACCUCUGCCCCAGCCCCAGCCCUCAGAGCAACCUCAGCCCAGCCCAGCCCAGCCCAGCCCAGCUCCAGCGCCAGCCCGGGCCCCAUCAUGGCCAAGGACUUUCAAGAUAUCCAGCAGCUGAGCUCGGAGGAAAAUGACCAUCCCUUCCAUCGAGGGCCACCUCCUGCCCAGCCCCUGGCACAGCGUCUCUGCUCCAUGGUCCGCUUCAGUCUGCUUGCCCUGAGCUUCAACAUCCUGCUGCUGGUGGUCAUCUGUGUGAUUGGGUCCCAAAGUGCACAGCUGCAAGCCGAGCUGCGGAGCCUGAAGGAAGCUUUCAGCAACUUCUCCUCGAGCACCCUGAUGGAGGUCCAUGCUCUCAGCACCCACGGAGGCGGCAUGGGUGACAAGAUCACAUCCCUAGGAGCCAAGCUGGAGAAACAGCAGCAGGACCUGAAAGCAAGUCAGAGAGCCUCCGGGGUGUGUGCGCAUGUGCGUGCAUGUGUACGUGUGUGGUGUGUGUAGUGUGCACGUGUGCGUGCGUGCGUGCGUGCGUGUGCCUGCAAGCGUGUGUAUCUGUGUCUCUCUCCGUAUGUGUG
Molecule: small RNA, 916 nt
Filed under: Pongo abelii (Sumatran orangutan)
Lineage: Eukaryota; Metazoa; Chordata; Mammalia; Primates; Hominidae
Description: retained intron
Source: RNAcentral